This 253-nucleotide ribosomal RNA is filed under the name uncultured bacterium. Its description in RNAcentral is "partial 16S ribosomal RNA". It matches the Rfam family "Bacterial small subunit ribosomal RNA", at positions 524 to 776 of the family's 1533-position model. The record is from RNAcentral.
UACGAAGGGGGCUAGCGUUGUUCGGAUUUACUGGGCGUAAAGCGCACGUAGGCGGGUUGUUAAGUCAGGGGUGAAAUCCUGGAGCUCAACUCCAGGACUGCCUUUGAUACUGGCAACCUAGAGGCUGGAAGAGGUUAGUGGAAUUCCCAGUGUAGAGGUGAAAUUCGUAGAUAUUGGGAAGAACACCAGUGGCGAAGGCGGCUAACUGGUCCAGAUCUGACGCUGAGGUGCGAAAGCGUGGGGAGCAAACAGG